UACGUAGGGUGCAAGCGUUAAUCGGAAUUACUGGGCGUAAAGCGUGCGCAGGCGGCUUUGCAAGACAGAUGUGAAAUCCCCGGGCUCAACCUGGGAACUGCAUUUGUGACUGCAUGGCUAGAGUGCGGCAGAGGGGGAUGGAAUUCCUGGUGUAGCAGUGAAAUGCGUAGAUAUCAGGAGGAACACCGAUGGCGAAGGCAGGUCUCUGGGCUGACACUGACGCUCAUGCACGAAAGCGUGGGGAGCAAACAGG
Molecule: ribosomal RNA, 253 nt
Filed under: uncultured bacterium
Lineage: Bacteria
Description: partial 16S ribosomal RNA
Rfam family: Bacterial small subunit ribosomal RNA
Source: RNAcentral